RNAcentral lists this ribosomal RNA (442 nucleotides) under uncultured bacterium. RNAcentral's name for it is "partial 16S ribosomal RNA". It matches the Rfam family "Bacterial small subunit ribosomal RNA", at positions 338 to 795 of the family's 1533-position model. The record is from RNAcentral.
CCUACGGGAGGCAGCAGUGGGGAAUAUUGGGCAAUGGGCGCAAGCCUGACCCAGCAACGCCGCGUGAAGGAAGAAGGCUUUCGGGUUGUAAACUUCUUUUAAGAGGGACGAGCAGAAGACGGUAACUCUUGAAUAAGCCACGGCUAACCACGUGCCAGCAGCCGCGGUAAUACGUAGGUGACAAGCGUUGUCCGGAUUUACUGGGUGUAAAGGGCGUGUAGCCGGGCUGACAAGUCAGAUGUGAAAUCCCAUGGCUCAACCCCGGAACUGCAUUUGAAACUGUCGGUCUUGAGUAUCGGAGAGGCAGGCGGAAUUCCGAGUGUAGCGGUGAAAUGCGUAGAUAUUAGGAGGAACACCAGUGGCGAAGGCGGACUGCUGGACGACAACUGACGGUGAGGCGCGAAAGCGUGGGGAGCAAACAGGAUUAGAUACCCGGGUAGUC